AAAAGCCUGCAGCUGAGAGUUGCUAACGAUGUUCUUUUGGUUAGAAAUAGUGAUUUGUUUUUACCCCCAAUUGGAAUAAUAUCUAAAAUGUUUAAUAACUAAUUGGCUUUAAUUCCUCAUGCUGUUUUAUUUUAGAAAAUAUCAAAACUCAGUCUCUGAGAGGAAGACCUUCAAACUUGGUCCAUACGACAGCAGUUAGUAAGAGAGAGAUUACUGGUAAUCGUCAGAUGUGAGUUUUUUUUUUCUGCCAACAGAAGUCACAUUCAAAUUGUAUUUGGUGAAAGCUUUUCAGUGUUACUUAGAAGAGGCCACCUGAGCCUACGUAGUACUAUUCCUCAGCUUCACUCCAUGCUCGGUUCUUUCCUUGAGCUUUAAGUAGAGUUCUCUAGCAGGGCGGGCAGAGUGAUUUGGUGGGAAAAUCAGAACCAUGUCUGUAGAAUGACCUGUCUCAUCAGUUGAAGAUCCGGAGGAUUCUUGAACCUGUACACAAUCCAAAUUGUGAUUACUCAGGAAUCUUUAGAUUCCUGUGUACCUGCACACCUCUCUCUUGGCAACUAGGGAUUAAAAAGAUAAGCUAAAAGAUGUGGUGUGUUGCUAGUAUGCAAUUAUAGAAUGUGGUUAUUAAUGGUUGGAUUUUGAGGGACCUCCCUAAAGAAUGGGUUAUGUAUCUCCAAAGGAAAUCAUGGAAAAUUCUGUUAUUUUUCAGUGAGUCCUUUUGAAUUAAUGUUCUUACUUUUUUUCUAAGUCUGUGUAAGUGCUUAUGUAUAAGUAUAUAAUUGUAUAAAUAUUUAUAAAUAUAUUUAUAUAAUUACAAUUUCAUUUAUACCUUG
This 830-nucleotide long non-coding RNA is filed under the name Rattus norvegicus (Norway rat). RNAcentral describes it as "long non-coding RNA NONRATT007084". The record is from RNAcentral. Lineage: Eukaryota; Metazoa; Chordata; Mammalia; Rodentia; Muridae.